UCCCUGAAUGUAAUCGAGGGAGUGACUCUCGCCAGAGAGGCGAGGGCCGGAGCAAGGUCAGCUUCUGCAAAUUAUUAACUUGGAUGCAGAGACCACAUCCUUGAAU
This 106-nucleotide non-coding RNA is filed under the name unclassified sequences. Its description in RNAcentral is "engA RNA". It matches the Rfam family "engA RNA". The record is from RNAcentral.